This is a non-coding RNA of Canis lupus familiaris (dog), 49 nucleotides long. The record is from Rfam. NCBI's taxonomy places the organism in Eukaryota, Metazoa, Chordata, Mammalia, Carnivora, Canidae.
AUAAAGGCUCUGAAGAAAAGAGCCACUCAUAAAAAGAACAAAAAUCUGU